GACGUAGGAGGCGAGCGUUGUCCGGAUUCAUUGGGCGUAAAGAGCACGCAGGCGGUUUGGCAAGUCGGAUGUGAAAACCCGGAGCUCAACUCCGGACCUGCAUCCGAAACUGCCCGACUAGAGGUAGGUAGGGGAGAUCGGAAUUCCUGGUGUAGCGGUGAAAUGCGCAGAUAUCAGGAGGAACACCAAUAGCGAAGGCAGCUCGCUGGGACGUUACUGACACUAAGGCGCGAAAGCGUGGGGAGCGAACAGG
Molecule: ribosomal RNA, 253 nt
Filed under: uncultured bacterium
Lineage: Bacteria
Description: partial 16S ribosomal RNA
Rfam family: Bacterial small subunit ribosomal RNA
Source: RNAcentral